This 327-nucleotide ribosomal RNA is filed under the name uncultured eukaryote. Its description in RNAcentral is "partial 18S ribosomal RNA". It matches the Rfam family "Eukaryotic small subunit ribosomal RNA", at positions 1470 to 1796 of the family's 1831-position model. The record is from RNAcentral.
CCCUUAGAUGUCCUGGGCCGCACGCGCGUUACACUGAUGCAUUCAACGAGCUUAUAACCUUGGCCGAGAGGCCUGGGCAAUCUUGUUAACGUGCAUCGUGAUAGGGAUAGAUUAUUGAAAUUAUUAAUCUUGAACGAGGAAUUCCUAGUAAACGCAGAUCAUCAAUCUGCAUUGAUUACGUCCCUGCCCUUUGUACACACCGCCCGUCGCACCUACCGAUUGGAUGGUCCGGUGAAGCCUCGGGAUUGUGGUUCUUGCCGCUUAUUGUGGCGUGACCGCGAGAACUUGUCUAAACCUUAUCAUCUAGAGGAAGGUGAAGUCGUAACA